This 1345-nucleotide ribosomal RNA is filed under the name metagenome. RNAcentral's name for it is "bacterial LSU rRNA". It matches the Rfam family "Bacterial large subunit ribosomal RNA", at positions 1564 to 2925 of the family's 2925-position model. The record is from RNAcentral.
UGAGUGCGAGCGGCUACGGCCGCGAAGUGGGUGAUGUCAAGCUUCCAAGAAAAGCCCUAUACCCGUUAAGGCAUGAUGGCCUGUACCCGAAACCGACACAGGUGGGGUGGUAGAGAAUACCGAGGGGCGCGAGGUAACUCUCUCUAAGGAACUCGGCAAAAUGGCCCCGUAACUUCGGGAGAAGGGGUGCCACCGCAAGGUGGUCGCAGUGAAGAGGCCCAGGCGACUGUUUACCAAAAACACAGGUCUCCGCUAAGUCGCAAGACGAUGUAUGGGGGCUGACGCCUGCCCAGUGCCGGAAGGUUAAGGAAGCUGGUCAGCGCAAGCGAAGCUGGCGACUGAAGCCCCGGUGAACGGCGGCCGUAACGAUAACGGUCCUAAGGUAGCGAAAUUCCUUGUCGGGUAAGUUCCGACCCGCACGAAAGGCGUAACGAUCUGGGCGCUGUCUCGGAGAGAGGCUCGGCGAAAUAGAAUUGUCUGUGAAGAUGCGGACUACGUGCACCCGGACAGAAAGACCCUAUGAAGCUUUACUGUAGCUUGGUAUUGUGCCCGGGCUCUGAAUGCGCAGGAUAGGUGGGAGGCUUUGAUCCAUGGCUUGCGGGUCAUGGUGAGCCAACGGUGAGAUACCACUCUUUCAGAGCUAGGGUUCUAACGGUCACCCGUCAUCCGGGGACCGGACAGUAUCAGGUGGGCAGUUUGACUGGGGCGGUCGCCUCCUAAAAGGUAACGGAGGCGCACAAAGGUUUGCUCAGGCUGGUUGGAAAUCAGCCGACGAGUGCAAAAGCAGAAGCAAGCUUGACUGUGAGACCUACAAGUCGAACAGGGACGAAAGUCGGCUUUAGUGAUCCGACGGUUCUGAGUGGAAGGGCCGUCGCUCAACGGAUUAAAGUUACUCUAGGAUAACAGGCUGAUCUCCCCCAAGAGUUCACAUCGACGGGGAGGUUUGGCACCUCGAUGUCGGCUCAUCGCAACCUGGGGCUGAAGUCGGUCCCAAGGGUUGGGCUGUUCGCCCAUUAAAGCGGUACGCGAGCUGGGUUCAGAACGUCGUGAGACAGUUCGGUCCAUAUCCGGUGCACGCGCAGGAACAUUGAGAGGAUUUCUCCCUAGUACGAGAGGACCGGGAGGAACGCACCUCUGGUGUGCCAGUUAUCGUGCCAACGGUAAACGCUGGGUAGCCAUGUGCGGAGUGGAUAACCGCUGAAAGCAUCUAAGUGGGAAGCCCACCUCAAGAUGAGUGUUCCCAUGGCAUAAGCCAGUAAGGUCACGGGAAGAACACCCGUUGAUAGGCUCUACGUGGAAGCCGGGUAACCGGUGAAGCGGAGGAGUACUAAUAGACCGAGGGCUU